UUGGAAUGCAGCGGGGUACUUGGAAGAUAGAUCUCGGGAACUUAGACUGAACUUUUUCAAGAGGAAGAAAUGACCUAUGAGGGUCCACCUGGACUCCAAGAGGAGCUGAGCUCAGAUCUUGGCCAAGAACACUCUGAGUGCUGUGGACCAGCCGGGUAGGCACUUCCUCUGCUACCUCUGCUAUCAUGAUCAUCCCCAGUUGCUCCAUAUUCCACCACAUCCUGUCUGGAGAAAGGAUGCUCAGAGUGAGGCAGAAGGGCGGCAUCCAACACCGUAAUCAGCUGCUCGUGCCAGCGAUGGGCUCCUCCAACCCAACCUCACUCCACAGCUGCUUUGCCGAAGCCCUUGUGCUACAAGUGAGAAGUACUGAGUGCCCUCAUUUCAAAGAAGCUAAGAGGAAUGGUGCUAGCUUCCUUCACCAGAUGGAACUAUCACAGGUCUUGGACUUCAAUCCUAUAGUCCUCAAGAAAGUCCUCCAUGACCAAAGAGUACCUUAGAUUUCCCCUUCUAAUGUGGAAGGAAAACACUAAUAUCAGAUGCCUCUUCUAUCAGCUUCAUCUGCCAAACCAAGCCACCUCCAAAGAGAAAAGAGUCAGACUAUUGAUUUUCUACUCCGUUGAUUACUGUUCAAUUGGAAAUGCUGCGUGAACAGAAAAUGGGUGCAUGAAUGAAUAAAUUAAAUUUAUAUUCAGCAGAAAGCUGGCACGAUAUAUUUUCAGUUUAUGUUUAAUUGGUUGGUAUGUCUUCUAUUAUUUUAAAUUGUACCUUGUCUUGAGGACCCCAAUGGGCAAAGAUAAUCUGUAUUUGAAAUAAAUACACAAAUUAGAAACAGUAGAACUAUAUCAGGAUAUUUUACACAUCUAGUUUAAGAUGAGUUGUCUGCUGAAGCCUAUUCCAGUUGGGUGCCACUAUGCUUUUUCUAAUUUAGAAGCAUCAAAUUAUGAUUUUAAUUAAUUUGUUCUAUACCAAAAUUAUACUUCACUUUUUCUCUUUGUUAUUGUUGGGUCAUCUGAACUAUGUUGGCUGGAUAGAGGGGCUACCUUCAACCUGCUUGAACUGUUUUUUAUUCUGAAGUAUUUCAAGGCGUUAGGAUUAUUGUA
Python bivittatus (Burmese python) is the source of this 1100-nucleotide long non-coding RNA. RefSeq lists it as uncharacterized. Lineage: Eukaryota; Metazoa; Chordata; Lepidosauria; Squamata; Pythonidae. The record is from RefSeq and is a predicted model, not a curated record.